UGCUAUGGAUAUAUCUAAAAGAAAUGGAUUCUUCAUUAUGUCAUUUUUUUGUAUUGGUGUCUCUAAUCUAAAUGUGCUCAGAAACUUCACAUAUGUAAUGACAGGCAAUCCACUGUAUGACAGCCUAGGUUCUUUGGGUGUGGGCACCUUAUUAGGCAUGGUCUCAGCAUUCCUCAUCUACACUAACACAGAAGCACUCUUAGGGCGGUCCAUCCAGCCAGAACAAGUACAACGGCUCACUGAACUCCUGGAGAAUGACCCAUCAGUAAGGGCAAUUCAUGAUGUUAAAGCCACAGAUCUGGGAUUAGGUAAAGUAAGAUUUAAGGCAGAAGUAGAUUUUGAUGGGCGAGUUGUUACAAGAUCAUAUUUGGAAAAACAAGAUUUUGACCAAAUGUUACAAGAAAUUCAAGAAGUGAAAACUCCUGAAGAACUAGAGACCUUUAUGCUUAAACAUGGAGAAAAUAUUAUUGAUACUUUAGGAGCUGAAGUAGAUAGACUUGAGAAGGAACUGAAAAAACGAAAUCCUGAAGUUCGACAUGUAGAUUUGGAGAUACUGUGAGUUUGAUGGAAUGAAUCACCUGGGUGGGGACCUUGGAAACAAGUUUGUCCGUCCACUCUACAAAGUUUCCUCCUCUCCUACACUGAAGGACUCAGUGCCAUGCAGAAGCCUUUUUUUUAAGAUGAAGGAAAUAUUUUAUGUAAAGAGCAACUCAGCAGGACACAGAACUAAAACUACUACUUACAUCUAAGAGACACACUACAAGUUGAAUCAAUUUGAAAAUCAUGUUUUUAUGCUUCCAUAGGGAACA
Molecule: small RNA, 809 nt
Filed under: Pan troglodytes (chimpanzee)
Lineage: Eukaryota; Metazoa; Chordata; Mammalia; Primates; Hominidae
Description: retained intron
Source: RNAcentral